Molecule: long non-coding RNA, 250 nt
Organism: Sciurus carolinensis (gray squirrel)
Lineage: Eukaryota; Metazoa; Chordata; Mammalia; Rodentia; Sciuridae
Exons: 3
Source: RefSeq, a predicted model, not a curated record
AGGAAAAACCCUAGGACACUGAUACCAUUCCAUAUCAUAGAUGAAGAAACUGAAGUUAAGUUUGUCACCGAUCCAAGUCACAUGACCAGAAAUGCAAAGCCUGAUCUCAUUUACAUUCUCCUGAUUGUGAAUUCUACGUGCUUUCUACCACUCAGGAAGGGAACGAUGUUGUACAAGUAACUGAGGCCUCUACAGAUCAUGGUAACCUUCAAGAAAAAAAUUUUAAUAUUAUAAUAAAAUGAUCAUACUC